This 123-nucleotide transfer RNA is filed under the name Cordyceps fumosorosea ARSEF 2679. Its description in RNAcentral is "Isaria fumosorosea ARSEF 2679 tRNA". It matches the Rfam family "tRNA". Rfam says of the family: Transfer RNA (tRNA) molecules are approximately 80 nucleotides in length. Their secondary structure includes four short double-helical elements and three loops (D, anti-codon, and T loops). The record is from Rfam by way of RNAcentral. Lineage: Eukaryota; Fungi; Ascomycota; Sordariomycetes; Hypocreales; Cordycipitaceae.
AGCAAUUUGGCGCAGUGGAAGCGCGCCGGGCUCAUAACCCGGAGGGUACGUCACACAAUCCUUGAGUCAACAAAGCAUUAGUCUAACAUCAACAAGUCGCAUGAUCGAAACAUGCAAUUGCUA